AUUGUUCGUGCAUACCUCGAGAAUGAAGAGAAAAUUUCGCAGUUCCAGAGAUGACGACUUAUCCUGCACCAUAAAAGUACUUUAUAACUUACGGUUGAUGGAUAACAAGGUUAAAGAAUAGUUAUAACCCAAGGAGACGAAUCCUCUUAAAAAUGGAAGCUCAAAAACAGUUGUAGACGACUCAAAUCAUGUUUAAAAAUACCCAAGGUAGCAGUGUUACAUGAACACCGACUCGACUACUAGCAGCAUAUAUACAGGGUAUUUUAUGUUUGAUAUUGACUAUCUGAGUGCUAUACAGGCUGUGGAUUAUGGAAAUAUUGGUGAUAAACGAGCCAUUGACAUCAGUUUUUUGUAAAGAAAUUCAGGACAGUGCUUGACUUAAGAAGUUGCAAACGAUGAGUUAAACUGUGUUCAUAAGCCAAUAGACUUUGUUGUAACAUAAUAAUUUUGAAUGUGACGAAAAUUUUGUCUGAUUAAAUAUUUGGACACAUUUUGCCAAUUAAAUUAUAGUGUAAUUUUU
Long non-coding RNA from Mytilus californianus (California mussel), 520 nucleotides. RefSeq lists it as uncharacterized. The transcript has 2 exons. NCBI's taxonomy places the organism in Eukaryota, Metazoa, Mollusca, Bivalvia, Mytilida, Mytilidae. The record is from RefSeq and is a predicted model, not a curated record.